CUGCCUUGUGCUUCUCUUCCAUGUACUUAGCUAUGGCGUAUGGACUUGAUCCACCACUCUUCUCGUUCAAGGCCAACAGAGCCUCCUUGAUCAUCUGAAAGUAUGGAGGAUGAGAAGCAGUUUUGGGUUGUUUCGGCUUCUUCUCCUUAGGAACCCUGGGUUUCUUCUCCUUCACCGGCUUCUCAGUCGGCUUGGUGUCCUCUUCCGUCGCAGGCGCCCCCACAACAGCAGCAGCAGCAACUUCAGGUUCUUUAUCAUCAACCAUUUCGAAUCACAAAUACAGAACAAAGAAAGAGAGAGAGAUCUCAGAAUUGCUUCUCC
RNAcentral lists this unclassified non-coding RNA (321 nucleotides) under Hevea brasiliensis (rubber tree). The record is from RNAcentral. Lineage: Eukaryota; Viridiplantae; Streptophyta; Magnoliopsida; Malpighiales; Euphorbiaceae.